RNAcentral lists this ribosomal RNA (1081 nucleotides) under uncultured fungus. Its description in RNAcentral is "eukaryotic LSU rRNA". The stretch from base 242 to 396 matches the Rfam family "5.8S ribosomal RNA". The record is from RNAcentral. Lineage: Eukaryota; Fungi.
AAGAAGGCUGUCGCUGGCUUGUACGUUCGAGCAUGUGCACGUCCCUCCGAGUCGCUCACUUCUCUCGUCGACCUUUCUUUUUUCAUUCUCGCUUCACACCUGUGCACCCACCGUAGGCUUUCGCCAGAAAGUCUAUGUCUUUUUGACAUCACAACCCGUCGUAUGUCUAGAAGGAUUUAUGUCGAACGACGCCUCCCUCUCGCAAGAGGGGAGUCGGUGCUCUCGACGAAACGGAAUUUACAACUUUCAGCAACGGAUCUCUUGGCUCUCGCAUCGAUGAAGAACGCAGCGAAUUGCGAUAAGUAAUGUGAAUUGCAGAUUUCCAGUGAAUCAUCGAAUCUUUGAACGCACCUUGCGCUCCUUGGUAUUCCGAGGAGCAUGCCUGUUUGAGUGUCAUCGAAUUCUCAAUCAUGUCGUGUGUGCAUGAGCAUGGACAUGACUUGGAGUUGGGGGAUUGCUGGUUGGCCCACGAGGCAGUCGGCUCUCCUUGAAUGCAUUAGCGAACGGUGCUGGUCUCGAAGACGGGUGCACGGCCUUUGACGUGAUAAUGAUCAUCGUCAUCGCUGGAGCGUCUCACUUGGGACCAUGCAUGCCGGAUCGCUUCGAACCCGGAAAAAGGAGGGGGGAUGAAGGCGCUUUUUCCUGCCAACGGUCUGAAGUGAAGCAGAGUCAAGCUUAGCUUAUUAGCUUGCUUUCGAGCGAGCGAACGCGGCGAGACAAGACUUCCGUCAGACCGUCUGGUCACAAGCACACUCUCACUCUCACUCUCACUGCUUGAAAAGGGCGACGACGAGGACGAGGACGAAGACAGUGUGGGGUAGACCUUCUGCAGACUGCUGGUCUAGGAUGGGCAGAGUGUGGAGCCUAGCUAUUAGCUUGCGCGAGCAAGCGAACGUGGGCAAGACAUCGUCACGAUCAGACUGGUGGUUCAAAGGUCGCUCGAAGUCGGAGUUCUAGGUCUGUAGUGUGUCGUCCUUCUCAAUCCAAAGGUCGACCUCAAAUCAGGCAGGACUACCCGCCGAACUUAAGCAUAUCAAUAAGCGGAGGAAAAGAAACUAACAAGGAUUCCCCUAGUAACUGC